RNAcentral lists this ribosomal RNA (484 nucleotides) under uncultured bacterium. Its description in RNAcentral is "partial 16S ribosomal RNA". It matches the Rfam family "Bacterial small subunit ribosomal RNA", at positions 29 to 523 of the family's 1533-position model. The record is from RNAcentral.
AGUGAACGCUGGCGGCGUGCUUAACACAUGCAAGUCGAACGAGAACGGGUUAUAGCUUGCUAUAAUUGUCAGCUAAGUGGCGCACGGGUGAGUAAUGUAUAGGUAAUAUGCCUCUUACUAAGGGAUAACAAAUGGAAACGUUUGCUAAUACCUUAUACUCCUUAUUAACAGAAGUUAAUAAGGGAAAGAUUUAUUGGUAAGAGAUUAGCCUGUGUUGUAUCAGUUAGUUGGUGGGGUAAUGGCCUACCAAGACUAUGACACAUAACUGGUUUGAGAGGAUGAACAGUCACACUGGAACUAAGACACGGUCCAGACUCCUACGGGAGGCAGCAGUGGGGAAUAUUGCACAAUGGACGAAAGUCUGAUGCAGCAACGCCGCGUGGAGGAUGACACAUUUCGGUGCGUAAACUCCUUUUAUAUGAGAAGAUAAUGACGGUAUUAUAUGAAUAAGCACCGGCUAACUCCGUGCCAGCCGCCGCAGUAA